RNAcentral lists this ribosomal RNA (378 nucleotides) under uncultured bacterium. RNAcentral describes it as "bacterial SSU rRNA". It matches the Rfam family "Bacterial small subunit ribosomal RNA", at positions 28 to 404 of the family's 1533-position model. The record is from RNAcentral.
GACGAACGCUGGCGGCGUGCUUAACACAUGCAAGUCGAGCGGUAAGGCCCUUUCGGGGUACGACGAGCGGCGAACGGGUGAGUAACACGUGGGUGACCUGCCCUCAGCUCUGGGAGUAAGCCUGGGAAACGUGGGUCGUAAUACCGGAUAUGACCCACUGACGCAUGUCGUGGGGUGGAAAGCCUUGUGCGGCUGAGGAUGGGCCCGGCGGCCUAUCAGCUUGUUGGUGGGGUGAUGGCCUACCAAGGCGACGACGGGUAGCCGGCCUGAGAGGGCGACCGCCACACUGGGACUGAGACACGGCCCAGACUCCUACGGGAGGCAGCAGUGGGGAAUCUUGCGCAAUGGGCGAAAGCCUGACGCAGCGACGCCGCGUGA